UACGUAGGGUCCGAGCGUUGUCCGGAAUUACUGGCGUAAAGAGCUCGUAGGUGGUUUGUCGCGUUGUUCGUGAAAACUCACAGCUCAACUGUGGGCGUGCGGGCGAUACGGGGCAGACUGGAGUACUGCAGGGGAGACUGGAAUUCCUGGUGUAGCGGUGGAAUGCGCAGAUAUCAGGAAGAACACCUAUGGCGAAGGGCAGCUCUCUGGGACGGUACUGACGCUGAGACGCGAAAAGCGUGGGGAGCGAACAGG
Molecule: ribosomal RNA, 255 nt
Filed under: uncultured bacterium
Lineage: Bacteria
Description: partial 16S ribosomal RNA
Rfam family: Bacterial small subunit ribosomal RNA
Source: RNAcentral